AGAGCUCAAAGUUGGAACCUGUUUGGCCUAGCUAAACAGGAUUGUAAACUGUAGAAGUGUUUUCCAGGCAAUCCGAGUUAAUAAGUCCUUUGGAACAGGGCAUCAUAGAGGGUGAGAAUCCCGUCUUUGAUUCGAGAUAUUUUGUCUUUUGCGAUACACUUUCAAAGAGUCAGGUUGUUUGGGAAUGCAGCCUAAAUUGGGUGGUAAAUCUCACCUAAAGCUAAAUAUUGGCGAGAAACCGAUAGCGAACAAGUACCGUGAGGGAAAGAUGAAAAGAACUUUGAAAAGAGAGUUAAACAGUAUGUGAAAUUGUUAAAAGGGAACCGUUUGGAGCCAGACUGGCUUGUCUGUAAUCAAUCUAGGUUUCGUGCCUGGAUGCACUUGCAGACUAUUUGCCUGCCAACGACAAUUUUUUUUGAGUGUAAAAACUAUUGGAAAUGUGGCCAAUAUUUAUUUAUUGGUGUUAUAGUCCUUUAGAAAAUACCUUGAAUUGGAUUGAGGAACGCAGCGAAUGCUUCUCUUUUGAGGCAAAGUCUUUUAUUGGGAUUUACGGAUCAGACUGUGGCAUUGUCACAAGACUUGAAGUUUAAACCUAUUUUUGAACUUUUAUUCGCUUAGGUUGUUGGCUUAAUGACU
Molecule: ribosomal RNA, 636 nt
Filed under: Rhizopus stolonifer
Lineage: Eukaryota; Fungi; Mucoromycota; Mucoromycetes; Mucorales; Rhizopodaceae
Description: LSU rRNA
Rfam family: Eukaryotic large subunit ribosomal RNA
Source: RNAcentral